UCAAGAUGAACAUACACUUAUAUAAAUUACUUUAGCUUGAAUGCAUGUUAAGUGUGAUUAUUUGAGUAUACUAAAGGAUGGGACAGAAAUAGGAAAUGCAAAGUUCAACCUUGGUCUGGACAGGGGAUAGCGCAGCUGCACCGUCCCUAAGCCUAGACAGGGCGCACAUGCGCCAUCCUCCAGUCAAGUCUAGAUUAUGUUUCUGAUCUGAUGUUCGAAACAUACUUAUAUGGUUACUUUAACUUGUAUUAUAUAACCAAUAUGCUAUGUAUUGUGUUAAGAAGGAUGCUAGGUGAUUAAGUUGAAUGUUUAAAUGAGUAAUUAUAACUUUCAAAUGUUAAGUCCAAAAGAAUGUUUACAAGCUAUAAAGCAAUGAUUUGAAAAAUAUGUUGUUUGACUUUAUGGUGUCAUACAAUCUGAUUUUUGCUAUGAAGGUGUAGGAUAUGUGAUGUAGUAAGUAUGAGUUACAAAUAAGUUGGAUGUUUAAGUGUACGUUUGAACUUACAUAUAUGAGUUUGCGUAACUAAUGAAAGUCCUAUACGUGUAAAUAUAUCAUGUUAAGACUCAAAAAAGGGUAUUAAGCUUUACUUUGGUAAACUACGCUUGAGGCAAGUACUCGAACCUUACUCUUUAUUGAGCAUUAUUGAACUUGUGCAAUUAUUGAUCGUACAAGUAGAACUUUGAAGAAGUAAUAUUUCGUAAUGAAAUUUCAAACUUUGAUUCGAACGAUAACUGUUCAUAUAUAUAUAUAUAUUGUGAAAGAGCUGUCUAAGCCAUUGAUUCGACUAGGCUAUUGAUAAUUGAUCGAAAACUAUCCAAACCAAAUUAACUUGGUGCAGACUCUUAUAACUGAGAAGAACAACCCUCUUAGUAGGGGAAUUAUAUAUUGUUGGGGAACCGAUGUGCGCACAUGAGAAAGACUAAAUGUUAUGCAUGACAUAGGGUACAUUAGGCUGAUCACCUAUUGUACUCGUUUUGUAGAAUUAUCAAUCUAUUACUGUUAAUUCUAAGAGAAGUUCAUAGUCCUUAGUGACUGCUCAGUAUCUAUUAUUUUGAAAUCUUAAAUUGAUAAAUCUUUAAAUAUUACUAAAUAUUAUUGUCCAUUGUGAUCAUUGUUGUUAAUCAUUGAUACUUCUUGUUAUCUUGAACUAUCAUAUACCCUUGAGAAAUUGAAAACUAUAUUGAAUACCCUUUUUCUAUAUUACUUGCUGGGCAAAAUUGUUGCUCAUUCUUGCUUUCCUUAAAACUUUCAAUGAAGGCAGAACAUGGUGAACCCUCUGGCAAGAACAAGGGUAAAGAAAAGGCUUUGGAGUAGUUAUUUCUAGGUUGCUAGGAAUGUACUAUGAUUUGGUUGUAGAAGAACUUAUUAAGUUAUGUUUAAUUUAAGUUAUGUUGUAUUAUGUAUUAGUUACGUCUAAACGAUGUUUAAUUCUAGUCAAGUUAUGUAAGAGAUGUUUAAGUUUCGAACCCUUGGGACGAGAAUAAUUAUGUUAUACCAAUGUAAAUUAUUAUAUUAUUCUGUUGUAUAGGAUGUUGAUUUAUUAUUAGAGUUAGUACGUGGCAACCAAAUUUGAGACAAGUGUGGUCUGAAUUUGGGGGUGUCACACGCAUAAUCAUGGAUUCAUACCCAUCAGUUAUACAUUUCCUUACAUUCUCAAUGUAAUAAUAAUUGUUACAUUGUUUUCUAACUCGGUUCUUAAAUCCUUCGCUUUACUUUCUCAUUUUACUCUCAGAAUAGCUAUGUAUGUAUAUGCAUACCUUAGUUACACAUAAUUGACAUCAACAUUCAUAAAUCUUUACCACACACUUGACUAACUAUGUGUUCGAUACACAUUUAAAAUUUAUAGGUGUAUGAUCCACAUUGUUCUUGCAUUUUGAAAAUCUUAAUAAAACUUAACAAAUCUGGGUUUUAUAUAGCCAUUACAUGGUUGUAUACUUAAAACAUUACUUAAGUCAAGAAUUGAAGCUUAAGACAUUCAUAUGCUUAAAAGUUCAGAUUAUAAUUUAAACAGUCAAACAACACUACCCUGCAGCGCAGCUGCUCUGCAGUUUGGCCUAGGAUGGGCGCAGUUGCGCCGUCCCCUGGCCAGAUCAGAUUAACAUUUUUAUUUUCUAAUUCACACCUCAUUUCUUAGCAUGCUCACAUAAAACAAAUACAUACGUUAAGAGGUCUUGGUCCAAGUUUGGUGCCUUGUGUUUGCUUUAAGCUAUAUUCAUAUUUUAUAGACUUAGUUCUAUUUAUUUCACUGCUAAGUGAGUUCAUACAAAAAGGAUCUAACUAUAUAACCAUUAACAAUGUUAAACAACUUUCAAUACACAUGAUCACGUAUAUUCAUCUUGUCUACAUAUGACUAGCAUAGUUUAUCACUUGAAAACUUACUUUUAAAACAUGCUCGAAUGACUUUCAUUGUGUCAAACUAGGUGAGUGCACUUAGAGGCCAUGUUUAAUGACAUAAAUAGUAUUAGCAUGCCAUCCUACAAGUUCAAAGGGUAGGAAACACCAUGCUCAAGAAUAUUGGUUUCCCCAAAACUUAAAUUUCUCUUUGAAAACACAUAUUAUCCAUGUUAUGCAAGUUAUCACAUGCAAGGCGACUUAAAAUCACAUUUCAUCCUCGCAUGACUCAACCACAUAUAUAUAUGCUAGAUGACACAAAGUUCAUCAAGGUUUGUUUUCAACAUCUUCAAGUUUAGAAAACAUAUAUUAAAGCAAGUAGAGCCACUCAUGAUAUGCAAGGGAACUCUAGACUAUAUGUCAUACUCAUUUGUAUAUGUUUCUACACAUGCUUACAAGGUGAAAAUAUAACCACUCCAUGUUUAUAAAACUUAGUCUGCAAAAGUAUCUGAGUUUGCCUUUGAAAUCAUUUUAAACCAAAUCAAAGCAAUCUAACACAGACGAAACAACUUUGAAUUUUAUGUUAUGCAUAGCUAAACUUCGCAUACAUGUUAUCAAGGUUAGAAUCUAAGGUACACAAGUUCUGUCACAGUUUACUUUCAAAAUCUUCGUAUAAUCUUUGGAAAAUAACCAUUUAAGAAACUCAUGGUAUAUAAAGGUACUCAAGACCAUAUGUCAUACUUAUUUGUAUGCAUGACUAAGUCAUUUACACAAGCUACAAAUAUCAGAAUUCAAAAGUCUCAAGGUUAGUCUAUAUUUUUUUUCAAAAUCUUCAAGUCUCUUUUAUAAAUAUACUAAAUCACGCUAUUGCAAAUUCAUUAUAAGUAAGACAACUUUAAACCACAUAUAAUACUUAUUGUUAUUCAUAACCAAGUUAAACCAUCAUGCUUGGAAUAACCAAAAAGUCAGUAUAUCAUUCUAGUGCAUAGCGUUGCUGCGCUAUAUUAUACUAUGGGAACGGCGCAGCUACACUAGCAUUUUGAGACACUGCAUCCGGCAUAGCUGCGCUAGAAAGGCCCAUAGAAUGGGUGCAGCUGCGCCCUUCCUGGAUGGUUCUAGGAAUGGCUCUGCUUCUACAGAAUCCAAACCCAAACGCAACAUUAUUUAAUUAUCUUGCUUAAAAUCAACUAAAUUACUUUCAUACAUUUAUAUAAUACUUAACUAACAUGCUAUCAAUUCUUAAAUCUCAUAAACAACCAAUUUGGCAACUCAAAUUCAAAGUUCAUGCUAUUUUUUCAUCUUUUAAUAUAUUUAGCAAAUUUCAUCACUACAAAUUCGUUUCUAAACCAAAUUGAUUCGUUUAACUUUCAUUGUUUUCUUUUUUAACUGUAUUAAAGGUAUCUUACAACAAUUCAUGGAUUAUAACAAUCCUUAGCCAUCAAUUUUUGACUCAAAAACAAGUAUUUAUUGACAUUACUAAGAAAUUACAAAACAUAGAAAUCAAGAGCAUAUAUGCUAGCAUUAUUACCUCUUGAAUUCUUGCAAUUAUUAACUAUAGUUCCUCAAUUGUCUAAUUGCUCCUCAAUUCUCCAAUUCUACUACAUCUCUAUAGCAAAUGCUCAGACAGUCAACAAACGGGAAUGAGGAGGAGGAGUCUCUAUUUAUAGUGAAUUCAAUACCCAACCAAGAGCUUUACCUAAUGUUUUGAACUAACAGGAAGAAGAAGAAGAAGAAGAUGAUGGAUAAAGAAGAUUUGGUGAAAAGAAAUUACAUGCUCCUUCCCCUUUGUAACAACUCGAUAUUUUCUAUACAAAUAAAUCAGAAAUUUUAAGUAUAAUUUUUUUUUAUUAAAAUAAAUAUGGGGAAGUAUGUGCUAGGUAAUGUGUAUAUAUAUGUAUGUGAUAAAUA
RNAcentral lists this long non-coding RNA (4240 nucleotides) under Panax ginseng (ginseng). RNAcentral describes it as "long non-coding RNA (PGIN_LNC001164)". Lineage: Eukaryota; Viridiplantae; Streptophyta; Magnoliopsida; Apiales; Araliaceae. The record is from RNAcentral.